Suricata suricatta (meerkat) is the source of this 701-nucleotide long non-coding RNA. RefSeq lists it as uncharacterized. The record is from RefSeq and is a predicted model, not a curated record. The transcript has 3 exons. Lineage: Eukaryota; Metazoa; Chordata; Mammalia; Carnivora; Herpestidae.
CAAGGACUGAGAGCCAAUCUAGAGGGUAGGAGAGGCUUCUCAUCAAGAUCUCAUUUCCUGAAAAUAGAGUGCCAUGAGGCAGAACCAGCUACCCUACCACCACCCCGCAGAGAGCUCCUGUUACCAGACUUAACACCCAAAGGAGGGAAAGCCGUGAGCUGCCUGGGCUUCUACCGGCCAGGUGCAGGGGGGGCUUCAAAGUGAGGAGUUUCUCCCAGUGAAGAUCAAUCCCCAGGAAUUACUGAUGACCUCAUCCUUGUGCCAACGCUGCAGAGAAAGUGCCAGAAGGAUCCCGUCUGGCUUUGCUCACAUAGGGACGUCUGCUUCUCAUGCCGCUCGCCCCACCCCUUGCUCCGUGUGACCAUCACGCUCAGGCUGGUGAAAUGGCAGGAGCUCAUGGGCAGGGGGACUGGCUUCAGUGAGGCAGAGCUGGGCUCUAGCGCAUCCACAGUGCACGGGGAAUGGACAGAAGGUGGCUGGAGACGUGAGCCGCACACCUGUCCACCUGUCACCUGAACCAGCCAGCGUCAUGAGCACUGUGAGCACCCACUCCCGGGGAGGAGAGAGAAGCCCUUCCAGUGUUAGGGAGAAGGAGAUCAGCUUCGCUUGGUUCACUUUACAAGGGGAAGACCCCUCGCCUCGGAAACCAUCCCAAGUUCACCGUGGCUGCCAGAAAUUCAGCAACUGUAAUAAAGAUCAGA